UGGUGUGGCUCAAUUGGUAGAGCAGCUGACUUGUAAUCAGCAGGUUGUAGGUUCGAGUCCUAUCACC
This 67-nucleotide transfer RNA is filed under the name Peptacetobacter hiranonis. It matches the Rfam family "tRNA". Rfam says of the family: Transfer RNA (tRNA) molecules are approximately 80 nucleotides in length. Their secondary structure includes four short double-helical elements and three loops (D, anti-codon, and T loops). Lineage: Bacteria; Bacillati; Bacillota; Clostridia; Peptostreptococcales; Peptostreptococcaceae. The record is from RNAcentral.